ACGUAGGUGGCAAGCGUUGUCCGGAUUUACUGGGCGUAAAGCGUGUGUAGGCGGGUCUUUAAGUAGGAAGUGAAAGGUUGGAGCUCAACUCUAACAUUGCUCCCUAUACUGGGGAUCUUGAGUGUCGGAGAGGACGAUGGAACUGCACGUGUAGCGGUGGAAUGCGUUGAGAUGUGCAGGAACACCAAUGGCGAAGGCAAUCGUCUGGACGAAGACUGACGCUGAGACACGAAAGCCAAGGUAGCAAACAGGA
Molecule: ribosomal RNA, 253 nt
Filed under: uncultured prokaryote
Description: partial 16S ribosomal RNA
Rfam family: Bacterial small subunit ribosomal RNA
Source: RNAcentral